AUUGAACGCUGGCGGCAGGCCUAACACAUGCAAGUCGAACGGUAGCACAGAGAGCUUGCUCUCGGGUGACGAGUGGCGGACGGGUGAGUAAUGUCUGGGAAACUGCCCGAUGGAGGGGGAUAACUACUGGAAACGGUAGCUAAUACCGCAUAACGUCGUAAGACCAAAGUGGGGGACCUUCGGGCCUCACACCAUCGGAUGUGCCCAGAUGGGAUUAGCUAGUAGGUGGGGUAAUGGCUCACCUAGGCGACGAUCCCUAGCUGGUCUGAGAGGAUGACCAGCAACACUGGAACUGGGACACGGUCCAGACUCCUACGGGAGGCAGCAGUGGGGAAUAUUGCACAAUGGGCGCAAGCCUGAUGCAGCCAUGCCGCGUGUAUGAAGAAGGCCUUCGGGUUGUAAAGUACUUUCAGCGGGGAGGAAGGCGGUGGAGUUAAUAACUUCACCGAUUGACAUUACCCGCAGAAGAAGCACCGGCUAACUCCGUGCCAGCCGCCGCAGUAA
Molecule: ribosomal RNA, 504 nt
Filed under: uncultured bacterium
Lineage: Bacteria
Description: partial 16S ribosomal RNA
Rfam family: Bacterial small subunit ribosomal RNA
Source: RNAcentral